GGCAACACCAGAUCUGAGCCUCAUCCUACACCUAUACCACAGCUCACGGCAAGCCCGGAUCCUUAACCCACUGAACGAGGCCAGGGAUUAAACCCGUAUCCUCAUGGAUACUAGUUGGGUUCUUAACCUGCUGAGCCAUGACUGAAACUCCAGUCUGCAUUACACUAAUCCCCACCAGUGGUGUAUAAGUGUCCCAAUUUCUCCACAUCUUCACCAACUUUUGAACUGUCUGGCUUUUUGAAAAGAGUUACCCCAGUGGAGGUACAGUUGCCUUUUUACGAAGACUGUGAACUCCUGGAAAACUGGAAUCAAGUUUUAUUCAUCUUUACCUUUUCCUUUUUUGUCUUUUGUCCUUUUAGGGCCACACCUGUGGCAUAUGGAGGUUCCCAGGCCUACACCAGAGCCACAGCAAUGCCAGAUCCGAACCGCAUCUUCAAACUACACCACUGCCCACGGCAACGCCAGAUCCCCAACCCAAUGAGAAAGGCCAGGGAUUGAACCCACAACCUUAUGGUUCCUAGUCGGAUUCAUUUCCCCUGUGUCAGGACAGGAAUUCCUCAUCUUUACCUUUUCAAUGGCUAGCACUGCCAGGACCUGGUAGGCACCACAUUUGGUUAGUGGUCGAGUGAACUAGCAGAGAUAAGUUGAAGAAGUGAAUGAGGGCAAUUAUAAUGGACAAUCAGAGAAGGACAUUGGGUGGGGGUGGGGGUGGAAGCAAUUGGCCUUAGUGACUGGCUGUGGGAGGAUGGGGUGAAUGGAUUAAUUUCAUUCUCACUCUUCAGUGGUGUGACUGGCAAAGAUGCCCCCUGCUGGUUCCAGCACAGACCCCAGGGUACUUACAGUGUCCAGAGACCCAUCUCAUCUGGGGAACCUAGUCUGAGACGCUUGAUUCUGCCUCGUCUUCCUCAUCUGCACCAUUACCUUCUUAAAAUUGUGGAACGCUUCUAACUCUGUGGACAUUGUUCUAUUUGGAUUUUUAAGUUAGCUUUAUUAAUAUCAUCAUUAAUUUGGCUACGCCUGUGACAUGUAGAAGGUCCUGGGCCAGGAAUCAAACCUGUGCCGCAACAGGGGCCCAGGCCACCACAGCGACAGUGCUGGAUCCUUAACCCGCUGCACCACAAGGGAACUCCUGUUUUGAUUUUGAUACUUAAAUGGUCAUGAGAGACAUGGGUUUAUUUAUCCUCACUUUGGAAAAUGAGAAACUGAAACCCAAAGGCCUCACUCCUAACUGGUGAUAAAGCUAGGGCUCUACCUAAAGUUUCUUGACCCUGAGUAAUAGAUGUUCUUUUUCCAACAUGAAGUUGCCUGUGAAUGACCUCUCAAGAUGGCUUUUUAAAGCUCUGUGAACUCAAAUCAGAAUUGACUAUAAUGGAUUGCUUCAAAGUGAAGGAAUGCUUUUAUAUCAAGUGCUGCAUUUAAAUUAAGUAGUAUCUUUUCAUAGCCAUAAUUCUGACCUUUUCUAAGGGGAAGGUUUCAGUCUGUAAACAUCCAUUCAAAGAGGAAGUCUGUGUGUUGCUUAAGCAUGUGGGCUCGGCAGUCAGACAGACAUAAGCUGUACCUUGAGGAUUUUCUCAACUGUUGAUUUCUAAGGGAAAGUCACAUUUCGAAGAAUUUCCAGAAAGGGAUCAUCAAGACAGCAAGGGGUGUGUAAACAUUUUUGCAUGAGAAAUAGAUGAAGCACCUGAUAAUGGUCACUUUGGGGAAAAAAAGAGAAACAUAACUGUUGUGAAAUGAUAGAAAAUAUAUCUUGUAAAGGACAGUGUUCUGUUGUAACCAUGACUCGGGUGAACAAACAGGAAAUCACAGAAAGGCGGGAUUUUGUUGACUAGAAGAAAACAUUUAAAAAUAAAUAGAAUAUCUCAGAAUAGAGGGUUGGCUGACCAUGUCCUGAGCUCCUCCUCCAGGGACAUACUUACAUAAUCAGUGCCUCCCUGCUCCUGCCAAGGAUGUUAUGUCAUGGGUUCUGCCCUUGUGGGAAUGGGCUUCAUUAUUCAGAGAUUUCUUUCCGAUCCAACUUUGAGUGCAACGUGUACUUUUGAUAAUGUGAACUGGGUUUAUAGUCUAUGUUUUUCAGAACAGCAUUUGUCCCACAAGCUAGUUCUCUCCAUUACCUGUCUUUUAUCUGCCAAUUUUACAUAAUUCUAGCCACCCAGGCUUAAAACGUGAAUGGACUUUAAUGCUUUUCCCAUCUUCUCUUUUUCUCCUUUCCAUGAGUUCAAAUGGUCACUAAAUUCUACUAGGUCAACCUCUGCAAUAUCUAGCUUGUUACCUUUUUCCAUUCCCAAUUCAGGGCUAUAAGAUACCAUCUCUACUGGUUCUACCACUUCGAGGCUUUCUCCUUUAUUGUUCGUCCUGUCCAUGUGCCAGAUGGAUAUAGGUGGUGGCUCUGUUAACUUUCCUAAACACUGCUCUAGCAAACCCACUUUCACUUUCCUAGUCACAAGUUUCUUUUCUUUUCUUUCUUUCCUUUCUUUUUUCUUUUUCUUUUUGUCUUUUCUAGGGGCACACCCUCGGCAUAUGGAAGUUCCCAGGCUAAGGGUCUAAUCAGAGCUCUAGCUGCCAGCCUAUGCCACAGCCGCAGCAGUGUGGAAUCCAAGCUCUGUCUGCAACCUACACCAUAGCUCAUGGCAAUGUCGGAUCCUUAACCCACUGAGCGAGGCCAGAGAUUGAACCUGCAUCCUCAUGGAUGCUAGUUGGGUUUCUUAAUGCUGAACCACAAGGGGAACUUUCAUAUCCACAGUUUUCAUUGGCCCUAUUGACUACCAAAGAAAGCCCUUUUUUAUUUAUUUUUUUCUUUUGCUGAUUAAAGUAUAGUUGAUUGAUAAUGUGCCAAUUUCUGCUGUACAGCAAAGUGACACCGUCAUAUAUAUAUGUAUAUAUAAAAUAUGAAAUAUACAAUGAAAACAUAUAUAUAUAUAUUCUCUUUAUUACAUCGUCUUCCAUUAUGGUCUAUCCCAAGAGACUGGAUAUAGGUCCCUGUGCUAUAUGAUAGGACCUCAUUGCUUAUCCAUUGUAAAUGUAAUAAUCUGCAUCUACUAACCCCAAACUCCCAGACCAUGCCAAUCCCUCCCCCUUGGCAGCCACAAGUCUGUCUCCAGGUCUAUGAGUCUGUUUCUGUUCUGUAGAUAAGCUCAUCUGUGCCAUAUUUUAAAUUCCACGUAUAAGUGACCUCGUAUGGUAUUUGUCAGAAAGCCCUUUUUUAGAGCCCGGUGUCUCAUUAGUGCUCGAUACUUAUUCAUGUUUCAGGUCAACUGGUUACUCUUCCCCCAUGUUUGCAGCUCCGUGAUGGAAUGUCCCUACCUCUCCUUUCCUCCCACUGAAACCUUAUCUCUUCUUUGGCAUUAAAUGGCAUGGCAGUAUAGUGCCCUUAUUCCUUUCCUGACAUUUGAACAUGCUGGGACUCCUUUAGCCCCUGAAAUUCUAGAAUCCUUAUCUUUCUACUACUUAGCCUUCUAUUGGUAAAUGCUAUUCUUGCUUUCUUCCAUUGGUAACCUUGAGACUGUGAUUUCUUCCUCCUAUGUGUAAGAGAUUAUGUACCGUAGGCUUGUUUGAUAAAAAUUAAGGACAUGGAGUUCCUGUCAUGGCACAGUGGAAAUGAAUGCGACUAAGAACCAUGAGGUUGUGGGUUUGAUCCCUGGCCUCUCUUAGUGGGUUAAGGAUCCGGCAUUGCUGUGAGCUGUGGUGUAGGCUGGAGGCUACAGCUCCAAUUAGACCCCUACCUGGGAACCUCCAUAUGCCGUGCUGCAGCCCUUAAAAGACAAAAAAGAUGAAAAAAGUACAUAUUAAGUACAUAAUCACUGAUUAAAUAGGUGAACAAAUAUGUAUGCAAGUGAUCAUAACCAUGAAUCACUUUUAUAAAACAAUGUGCAAGGGGCUCCUCACUUUCUGUGGAUGGUCCCAGACAUUACUCAGUUGUCUACAUGGGAAAGUCAUGGCUCAUAAGAUGAACGGGAUGGGAAAGUGGCAAUGACUCAGGACAAGCUCAUCCAGGAAAACAGUUCCAAGCAUUUCUUUUACUGAAAACUUGUCGGGAGCAUAAUCCUCUCAUACUAGAGGAAGCUCAUCAUAACCUCACAGCAUUCUUUGUUGGACUAUGUCCUAAGCACCCUUCUUAACAAGAACAACGGCAACAACAAAAGCAAUUUAAUGACUUAAAACCAAGGAUGGUAAUAACCUUGUGUUCCCUUAUAAUAGGCUACGGGUUAGACAGCAUCUUAAGCUGUGGGCCCUUUGUGGGAGGUGGUCCUAUUAUCGAAGCCUCCUCGGUGUCUCUCAGGACCAUUUCAGAUUAUUGCAUCUCUCUCCCUGAAGAAACCUAACGCGUGCUUAAAUAGCAACCUUUUUGUAUUAAAUAGCAGCCUUCUUGGUGGCACUUGGUACUAUCCAGACAGCCUGUGCUGAUUUGGAAUUCAAACUAAUACAAAGUAGCAGAAUACGGAGAAAGAAACUCCUUCAGACAAAUCUUUAUGUUUUUCACCCUGAGGCCAAGCGGGUGCAUGUUUUUAUUUUAUUUUUUAAUUUAAUUUAAUUUAUUUAUUUUGCCUUUUUGUCCUUUCUAAGGCUGCACCCGUGGCAUAUGGAGGUUCCCAGGCAAGGGGUCUAAUUGGAACUGCAGCUGCCAGCCUAUGCCACAGCCACAGCAAAGCCAUAUCCAAGCCGCAUCUGUGACCUACACCACAGCUCACGGCAACGCCGGAUCCUUAACCCAUUGAGCGAGGCCAGGGAUCGAACCUGCAACCUCAUGGUUCCUAGUCUAAUUUGUUUACCACUGAGCCAUGACAGGAACUCUGGUCCAUGUUUUUAAAGAAGAAAGUUGGGGCUUCAAAUUUGGAAUUUUAACUAUUCUGGCUCCUGAUGAUGACUAUGAAAUAUUAUGUGUUCCAGAUAAAGCAUGGGUUUCCAUUCCACCCCACCCCUCAAUUAAAAAAUAUACUAGAACUUUAUUUUAUAUAAUAUUCUCAUAGAAGCAAGAAAUUUUAAGAACUUGUCAUUAUUUCUACAUUUAAUAUUUGGUAGAAGGAUGGUUCUUAAAUCUUUACCCAUUUGCUUUGUAAAUCACUAUUCAGGAGUUAUCCUUGUGGCUCAGUGGGUGAAAACUUGACAGAGUCUUGGUGAGGAUGCAGGUUUGAUACCUGGCCUUGUUCAGUGGGUUAAGGAUCCAGCAUUGCCGAAAGCUACGGCAUAGGUCACACAUGAGGCUCAGGGAGGGUGUUGCUGUGGCUGUGGUGUAGGCCUACAGCUGAAGCUUUGAUUCGACCCCUAGUCCACGAACUUCCAUAUGCCACAGGUAUGGCCACAUAGAAAAAAAGAAAAAAAAAA
This 5319-nucleotide long non-coding RNA is filed under the name Sus scrofa (pig). RNAcentral's name for it is "lncRNA (ENSSSCG00060048297.1)". Lineage: Eukaryota; Metazoa; Chordata; Mammalia; Artiodactyla; Suidae. The record is from RNAcentral.